This 496-nucleotide ribosomal RNA is filed under the name uncultured bacterium. RNAcentral's name for it is "partial 16S ribosomal RNA". It matches the Rfam family "Bacterial small subunit ribosomal RNA", at positions 28 to 506 of the family's 1533-position model. The record is from RNAcentral.
GAUGAACGCUGGCGGCGUGCCUAAUACAUGCAAGUCGAGCGAACAGACGAGGAGCUUGCUCCUUUGACGUUAGCGGCGGACGGGUGAGUAACACGUAGGUAACCUACCUAUAAGACUGGGAUAACUUCGGGAAACCGGAGCUAAUACCGGAUAAUAUUUCGAACCGCAUGGUUCGAUAGUGAAAGAUGGCUUUGCUAUCACUUAUAGAUGGACCUGCGCCGUAUUAGCUAGUUGGUAAGGUAACGGCUUACCAAGGCAACGAUACGUAGCCGACCUGAGAGGGUGAUCGGCCACACUGGAACUGAGACACGGUCCAGACUCCUACGGGAGGCAGCAGUAGGGAAUCUUCCGCAAUGGGCGAAAGCCUGACGGAGCAACGCCGCGUGAGUGAUGAAGGGCUUCGGAUCGUAAAACGCUGUUAUUAGGGAAGAACAAACGUGUAAGUAACUGUGCACGUCUUGACGGUACCUAAGCAGAAAGCCACGGCUAACUACGU